This 674-nucleotide ribosomal RNA is filed under the name uncultured archaeon. RNAcentral describes it as "bacterial SSU rRNA". It matches the Rfam family "Archaeal small subunit ribosomal RNA", at positions 198 to 874 of the family's 1478-position model. The record is from RNAcentral.
GCCGCCCAAGGAUGGGGCCGCGACCGAUCAGGUUGUUGGUGAGGUAAUGGCUCACCAAGCCUUUUACCGGUGCGGGCCGUGAGAGCGGGAGCCCGGAGAUGGGCACUGAGACAAGGGCCCAGGCCCUACGGGGCGCAGCAGUCGCGAAAACUUUGCAAUAAGCGAAAGCUUGACAGGGCUAUCCCGAGUGCCAUCCGCUGAGGAAGGCUUUUACCCAGUCUAGAACGCUGGGGGAAUAAGGAGAGGGCAAGUCUGGUGUCAGCCGCCGCGGUAAUACCAGCUCUCCGAGUGGUGUGGAUGUUUAUUGGGCCUAAAGCAUCCGUAGCUGGCUAGGUUAGUCCCUUGUUAAAUCCACCGAAUUAAUCGUUGGAUUGCGGGGGAUACUGCUUGGCUAGGGGACGAGAGAGGCAGACGGUAUUUCCGGGGUAGGGGUGAAAUCCUAUAAUCCCGGGAAGACCACCAGUGGCGAAGGCUGUCUGCUAGAACGCGCCCGACGGUGAGGGAUGAAAGCUGGGGGAGCGAACCGGAUUAGAUACCCGGGUAGUCCCAGCUGUAAACGAUGCAGGCUAGGUGUUUGGACGGCCACGUGCCGUUCUAGUGCCGCAGGGAAGCUGUUAAGCCUGCCGCCUGGGGAGUACGAUCGCAAGAUUGAAACUUAAAGGAAUUGGCGGGGG